This is a non-coding RNA of Phrynosoma platyrhinos (Desert horned lizard), 72 nucleotides long. NCBI's taxonomy places the organism in Eukaryota, Metazoa, Chordata, Lepidosauria, Squamata, Phrynosomatidae. The record is from the annotation of a GenBank genome assembly.
GCCAGUGUGAUGUAGUGGUUUGAGUGUUGGACUAAGACUCUGGAGACCAAGGUUCGAAUUCUUGCUUGGCCA